ACUGGUGUUUGUCCUUCGCCACCCCCUCCAGUCCAGAGAAGUUGAGAAAACCCCUCUUUAUUCAUCUGUACUGGACCGGAACCUGCCUCUUUUACAGGGACAUCUGCGCGAUGUGAUCUAAAGAAAAAAUGUGAACCCAUUAUUUCAGUCGUUGUUCUUCCUCUCCAUUUUGGCCCUCUAUCUAAGCUUUUGUUUACGUCGAGUGACACUAUUACAGGCCUACUCCGUUAGCAGCAAUACUUUGAAAAAGACCAACUUCAAGAACUGGAACAUAACCAAAGAAGUUUAAGUUUACUAUCACCGUUACUGUUACGAAAGUUUUGGUGCCGCCAGAGCGUCCAGCAGCGACAUGUUGCUUCUCGGCGUGAACACGCAUGUAGCGAUGGAGAGAGAGGAAGGCCGUCAGACGGCAGACAAAGGCCUGCAUGGAAGGGGUGCUGCUGCGGCCCAUGUUUGACGGCUGGCCUUUUCAUGCUUUCUGUCAGCGGGUGCCGGUUCACUCAGACCACCAGGGGUCCUCAACUGACCUGUCAAAUCCGAGGAGCCAGGAGGAGGGAGGGUGCCACCUAGUGGCAGUGAGAGCAAACUCGUUUUGUUCUCUUUGUUGUUACAGUCGUCUGAGGUCAGUGUUGGAUGAACUGCUGACAUAGAUUGUCAUGUCGAAAUGUAACAUCUGAAUAAAGGACAGAAUUAUCUCUCUCUCUCGGUUUCUCCUUUGGUGUCUUCCCUGCACAAUACAAUGCAGGUUAACAGCAGGAAGUAAUACACUUUAAUUAACACCUUCCAUGUGUUAAUGAACAGUAUGAGGUUCCAGUAUGAUGUUGGAUGUAGACACUGGGAAUGGAUGGAGAGUUAUUUGCAGACCUGGUCAAAAGUGGUGUCCCCUGUUUGACUGUGUUCCAAGUCACCCUGUUCCAAUGCAGACAGCCACAGAGGUGGCACUGUCCCAUUACAUUAACCUUUUAAUUCAAGGCCCAUUACACCACUACAAUCAGUAUUAAUUCCCAAAAUUAUUUUUUAAUUUCAAAUAAAUAUUGAAGGAACACACAUGCAUGUACGUCCACACACCCCAUGAACACAUACACUGCACAAGAUGCAGUGGGGUUCACUAACUGUCAUCUUUCCACAAAUUGUUUUAAUCAUUUGCUAAGGCACCAAUACACUUGUAGGCACACACAGAAAGACUUCAUUUGACAUCUUUUAAUUGAAUAUGAUGAAAUUCAAAUCCACAGUUUCUUUCCUGGUAUACUCUAAGUUUAUAAUUUUUUGAGUGGAGAUACCUUAGGAAACUUUUCUAUUUGGUUACAGGCGGUGUGUGUGUGUGUGUGUAUGCCAGGUUUCGGCUGGUGGGAGGGCAUUAUGGAGUCUGAGUAAUGCUUUCUCGUAACCUAUAUCCUGUCCCAACAAACACAGGCGGCAGGCACCAUGCCAGGUGAGAUUGAACCAAACCCUGCCCUCUUCCCAUGGAGGUAAGAGCAUGACCGAGCCAAAAUGGUGGCACCUAGGCCCCAGUCUUCGCCAGACAGAACCAACAUGGCUGCCGUAACACUACAAGGGGGUAUUGGAUAUCCCUGACUGAGAGAGAGACAGAAGGAGGAGCCAAAUUCCUGCUUUUAGAUGAAGAAGGGGUGGGGGGGCUGUCUAAUGGAAGUCUGCUGAGACUCCAAGUCAAUUAUUCAGCCAGAAAGUAGAGGAGGAGGAGGAGGAUCUGGAGAGAGUGGGGUAUUGACUUGGGUAAUAAUCUCUGGUCCGUCAGCAGCAGCCAGCGCCCUGAGACCGUGCUGAGACCAGACGCGGAGGUGGGAGGGAGGAAGGGGGGGUGUUGGCCAAGAUCCUAGACAUCCUCUCAGAGCAAAAGGUUAGUGUCAAUCCCCUGCCGCAUCAGGUAUAAAUAGCGUCUCUCGUCUCCAGAUGGCAGUCAAGAAGGGGAUUUGUGUGUAAAGAUGUUUAUGCGCAUACUGGUUGCGUGUUGAUUUUGAGCAUUUGAGCGUGUUGAAUUUGUGAGUGUAAAUGAUUCAGAAGGCUCAGUUCAGAUAAGGUGAGGUAACAGGCCUUCUUGUUCUGUUGGCCCGUAGUGGAGACUGCAUAAAUUGUCACAACAAUUGUGUAAUAGAAAUUAGACAAUGACACUUAUACAAAUGAACAAAACAGUAAAAAAUACUGUAAUGUACUAGACAAAUAUUAAAAAUGUCUAUAAUUUUGUUUGCUAAUUAUAAUGCCUGAAUGUUAUACAUGUGAUGAUUUUGUCCAUAACUCUUUAAUUUAGUUACCUUGACCUUAAGAUUACACAGAUCACUGGGGGGAAAUCUGUUGGUAAUACCUGCUAUCAGAACUAAACAUGGCGGAGCAACUUUUAGCUAUGCUGCUCAGCUCUGGAACCAACCUCCUGAUGACAUCAAAGGUUCUCCAAAUAUAGCCAGCUUCAGAUGUAGAAUCAAAACCCAUCUCUUCUCCAAUUCUUUUUGUCCACUGAUUUAAUGCACUGUACUUUUUAUUUUUUUAUGGCUUUAGUUGAUUUUUCAUGCUCCUUCCUUUUUAAUAGUUUAAUUUUAUGGUCUGUUCACUGUUUUAAUGCGUUUAACCUUUUUUAAUCUCUUAUUUCUUCUAUGUUCUUUUAUCUGGUCAUUUGUAAAUCACUCUGAAUUACCCAUCUGCAUGAAUUGUGCAAUAUAAAUAAAAUGGCCCUGCUGAACACA
Molecule: long non-coding RNA, 2696 nt
Organism: Alosa sapidissima (American shad)
Lineage: Eukaryota; Metazoa; Chordata; Actinopteri; Clupeiformes; Clupeidae
Exons: 2
Source: RefSeq, a predicted model, not a curated record